AUUGAACGCUGGCGGCAGGCUUAACACAUGCAAGUCGAGCGGGGUGAUGGUGCUUGCACUAUCACUUAGCGGCGGACGGGUGAGUAAUGCUUAGGAAUCUGCCUAUUAGUGGGGGACAACAUCUCGAAAGGGAUGCUAAUACCGCAUACGUCCUACGGGAGAAAGCGGGGGAUCACUUGUGACCUUGCGCUAAUAGAUGAGCCUAAGUCGGAUUAGCUAGUUGGUGGGGUAAAGGCCUACCAAGGCGACGAUCUGUAGCGGGUCUGAGAGGAUGAUCCGCCACACUGGGACUGAGACACGGCCCAGACUACUACGGGAGGCAGCAGUGGGGAAUAUUGGACAAUGGGGGGAACCCUGAUCCAGCCAUGCCGCGUGUGUGAAGAAGGCCUUAUGGUUGUAAAGCACUUUAAGCGAGGAGGAGGCUCUUUUGGUUAAUACCCAAGAUGAGUGGACGUUACUCGCAGAAUAAGCACCGGCUAACUCUGUGCCAGCCGCCGCAGUAA
This 503-nucleotide ribosomal RNA is filed under the name uncultured bacterium. Its description in RNAcentral is "partial 16S ribosomal RNA". It matches the Rfam family "Bacterial small subunit ribosomal RNA", at positions 30 to 523 of the family's 1533-position model. The record is from RNAcentral.